Molecule: ribosomal RNA, 890 nt
Filed under: uncultured bacterium
Lineage: Bacteria
Description: bacterial SSU rRNA
Rfam family: Bacterial small subunit ribosomal RNA
Source: RNAcentral
AGAGUUUGAUCAUGGCUCAGGAUGAACGCCGGCGGUGUGCCUAAUACAUGCAAGUCGUACGCACUGGCCCAACUGAUUGAUGGUGCUUGCACCUGAUUGACGAUGGAUCACCAGUGAGUGGCGGACGGGUGAGUAACACGUAGGUAACCUGCCUCGGAGCGGGGGAUAACAUUUGGAAACAGAUGCUAAUACCGCAUAACAACAAAAGCCACAUGGCUUUUGUUUGAAAGAUGGCUUUGACUAUCACUCUGGGAUGGACCUGCGGUGCAUUAGCUAGUUGGUAAGGUAACGGCUUACCAAGGCGAUGAUGCAUAGCCGAGUUGAGAGACUGAUCGGCCACAAUGGAACUGAGACACGGUCCAUACUCCUACGGGAGGCAGCAGUAGGGAAUCUUCCACAAUGGGCGCAAGCCUGAUGGAGCAACACCGCGUGAGUGAAGAAGGGUUUCGGCUCGUAAAGCUCUGUUGUUGGAGAAGAACGUGCGUGAGAGUAACUGUUCACGCAGUGACGGUAUCCAACCAGAAAGUCACGGCUAACUACGUGCCAGCAGCCGCGGUAAUACGUAGGUGGCAAGCGUUAUCCGGAUUUAUUGGGCGUAAAGCGAGCGCAGGCGGUUGCUUAGGUCUGAUGUGAAAGCCUUCGGCUUAACCGAAGAAGUGCAUCGGAAACCGGGCAACUUGAGUGCAGAAGAGGACAGUGGAACUCCAUGUGUAGCGGUGGAAUGCGUAGAUAUAUGGAAGAACACCAGUGGCGAAGGCGGCUGUCUGGUCUGCAACUGACGCUGAGGCUCGAAAGCAUGGGUAGCGAACAGGAUUAGAUACCCUGGUAGUCCAUGCCGUAAACGAUGAGUGCUAGGUGUUGGAGGGUUUCCGCCCUUCAGUGCCGGAGCU